RNAcentral lists this ribosomal RNA (462 nucleotides) under uncultured bacterium. Its description in RNAcentral is "partial 16S ribosomal RNA". It matches the Rfam family "Bacterial small subunit ribosomal RNA", at positions 28 to 507 of the family's 1533-position model. The record is from RNAcentral.
GACGAACGCUGGCGGCGUGCUUAACACAUGCCAGUCGAACGGAAAGGCCUUUUCGGAGGUACUCGAGUGGCGAACGGGUGAGUAACACGUGGGUGAUCUGCCCUGCACUCUGGGAUAAGCCUGGGAAACUGGGUCUAAUACCGGAUAGGACCGCACUUUAGUGUGUGUGGUGGAAAGGUUUUUCGGUGUAGGAUGAGCCCGCGGCCUAUCAGCUUGUUGGUGGGGUAAUGGCCUACCAAGGCGGCGACGGUAGCCGGACUGAGAGGUUGGUCGGCCACAUUGGGACUGAGAUACGGCCCAGACUCCUACGGGAGGCAGCAGUGGGGAAUAUUGCACAAUGGGCGCAAGCCUGAUGCAGCGACGCCGCGUGGGGGAUGACGGCCUUCGGGUUGUAAACUCCGUUCGCCAGGGACGAAGCGUUUUGUGACGGUACCUGGAGAAGAAGCACCGGCUAACUACGUG